Molecule: ribosomal RNA, 346 nt
Filed under: uncultured fungus
Lineage: Eukaryota; Fungi
Description: SSU rRNA
Rfam family: Eukaryotic small subunit ribosomal RNA
Source: RNAcentral
GUAGUCAUAUGCUUGUCUCAAAGAUUAAGCCAUGCAUGUCUAAGUAUAAGCAAUCUAUACAGUGAAACUGCGAAUGGCUCAUUAAAUCAGUUAUCGUUUAUUUGAUAGUACCUUACUACUUGGAUAACCGUGGUAAUUCUAGAGCUAAUACAUGCUAAAAAUCCCGACCUCUGGAAGGGAUGUAUUUAUUAGAUAAAAAACCAAUGCCUUCGGGCUCCUUGGUGAUUCAUGAUAACUUUACGAAUCGCAUGGCCUUGCGCCGGCGAUGGUUCAUUCAAAUUUCUGCCCUAUCAACUUUCGAUGGUAGGAUAGUGGCCUACCAUGGUUUCAACGGGUAACGGGGAAU